This 272-nucleotide ribosomal RNA is filed under the name Salmonella enterica. Its description in RNAcentral is "partial 16S ribosomal RNA". It matches the Rfam family "Bacterial small subunit ribosomal RNA", at positions 1 to 269 of the family's 1533-position model. RNAcentral also lists the same sequence under 1 other name. The record is from RNAcentral. Lineage: Bacteria; Pseudomonadati; Pseudomonadota; Gammaproteobacteria; Enterobacterales; Enterobacteriaceae.
AAAUUGAAGAGUUUGAUCAUGGCUCAGAUUGAACGCUGGCGGCAGGCCUAACACAUGCAAGUCGAACGGUAACAGGAAGCAGCUUGCUGCUUCGCUGACGAGUGGCGGACGGGUGAGUAAUGUCUGGGAAACUGCCUGAUGGAGGGGGAUAACUACUGGAAACGGUGGCUAAUACCGCAUAAUGUCGCAAGACCAAAGAGGGGGACCUUCGGGCCUCUUGCCAUCAGAUGUGCCCAGAUGGGAUUAGCUUGUUGGUGAGGUAACGGCUCACC